AGUCGUAACAAGGUAACCGUAGGUGAACCUGCGGUUGGAUCAUUAACAAUGGUUUUCAAACCUUUUAUCUGUGCACUGUAUUGUUUUUGGUGACUCCUGCUCAGCCUUUGGGUUGAAAAGGUCUGUCUCUGGCUUACCACGGACAGAAACGGUCACCGACACUUUUAAACCAUGUUUUGAAUCGAGUCUUGAAUUUGUAUUAAAAUGAAAAACUUUUGACAACGGAUCUCUUGGCUCUC
This 239-nucleotide unclassified non-coding RNA is filed under the name fungal sp. RNAcentral describes it as "partial internal transcribed spacer region". The stretch from base 1 to 45 matches the Rfam family "Eukaryotic small subunit ribosomal RNA", at positions 1787 to 1831 of the family's 1831-position model. Lineage: Eukaryota; Fungi. The record is from RNAcentral.